GGGAAUGGCGGCGUGCUACUAAUGCAGUCGAGCGAGCUGAUUAAAAUCUUGCUUCUAUAUACAUUUUUCGGCCGAUCGGUGAGUAACACGUGUGCAACCUGCCUGUAAGACUGGGAUAACUCCGGGAAACCGGAGCUAAUACCGGAUAAUAUUUUCUCUUGCAUAUCAGAAAAUUGAAGGAUGGUUUCUGCUAUCACUUACGGAUGGGCCCGCGCCGCCGUCCCUAUUUGGUGAGGUAACGGCUCACGCUUGCCACGAUGCAUAUCCGACCUGAGAGGGUGAUCGGCCACGCUGGGACUGAAACUCAGACCAGACUCCUACUGGAGGCAGCAGUAGGGAAUCUUCCUCAUUGGACGAGAGUCAGACCGAGCAGCGCCGCGUGAGUGAGGAAGGCUUUCGGCUCCUAAAACUCUGUUGUUAUGGAAAAACAAGUACUUUAAUAACUGCUUGUACCUUGGACGUACCUUAACAGAAGGCACGGCUAAUACGUGCUAGCAGAGCCGCCGGUAAAUACGUUAGGUGGCAGAGCGUUAUCCCGGAAUACUCUGGCCGUGAAAGCGGGCAUAUGGUCUUGAGUUCUGAUGAUGAAGCCAGGUCUCAACCGUGAGGAUGCAUUGGAAACUGGGAAGCUUGAUGCGAAGAGAAGGGAAUUCUACGUGUACGGUGAAGAUGCGUAGAGAUGUGAGAACACUCGUGCUGAUAGGCUGGCUUUGGUCUGUAUACUGACGGUGAGGCGGAAAGCGUGGGAGCAACAGGAUUAAUACCUGGUAUCACGCCGUAUAACGAUGAGUGUAAGUGUUAGAGGGUUCGCCCUUAGUGCUGCCAGUCCCAUAACAUCUCAGCCUUGGGGAGACGUCCUAGGAUGAUGCAGGAAUGGACGGGCCCGCUCAAAGGUGGAGCAUGUGUUAAUUCAGCAACGAAACCCUACCAGGUCUGCUCCUCUGAACUAGAGAUGAGCGUUCCCUUGGGGGAAAGUGCAGUGGUCAUGGUGUUGUCAGUGGUCUGUCCGUGAAUGAUGGUAUCCCGCACGGCCCAACCCGUUAUUCUUAGUUGCCCUGACCAUGUAUUGGCGCUAUUAAGGACUGCCCGGGUGGCAUGACCGGAGGAAGGUGGGGAAGGAGUCAAAUUCUCCUGCCCCUUAUGACCUGGGGUACACACGUGGUACAAAGGAUGGUACAAAGGGGUGCACGACCGGGAGGUCAAGCCAAUCCCAUAAAACCAUUUUCCGUUUGGAUUGUAGGGUGCAAAUUGCCUACCUGAAGCUGGAAUCGCUUGUAAUCGCGGAUCAGCAAGCCGCGGUGAAUACGUUCCCGGGCCCUGUACACACCGCCCGUCACACCCCGAGAGUUGGUAACACCCGAAGUCGGUGGGGUAACCCCUAUGAGCCAGCCGCGUAAGUGAUCAAUGUG
Molecule: ribosomal RNA, 1409 nt
Filed under: Priestia paraflexa
Lineage: Bacteria; Bacillati; Bacillota; Bacilli; Caryophanales; Bacillaceae
Description: bacterial SSU rRNA
Rfam family: Bacterial small subunit ribosomal RNA
Source: RNAcentral